CCUACGGGUGGCUGCAGUGGGGAAUAUUGCACAAUGGGGGAAACUCUGAUGCAGCGACGCCGCGUGAAGGAAGAAGUAUUUCGGUAUGUAAACUUCUAUCAGUAGGGAAGAAAAUGAAGGUACCUGACUAAGAAGCCCCGGCUAACUACGUGCCAGCAGCCGCGGUAAUACGUAGGGGGCAAGCGUUAUCCGGAUUAACUGGGUGUAAAGGGAGCGUAGGCGGUUUAGCAAGUCAGAAGUGAAAGCCUGGGGCUCAACUGGGAGACUGCAUUUGAAACUGUUGAAUUGGAGUGCAGGAGAGGUGAGUGGAAUUCGUGGUGUAGCGGUGAAAUGCGUAGAUAUUAGGAAGAACACCAGUGGCGAAGGCGGCUUACUGGACUGUAAAUGACGCUGAGGCUCGAAAGCGUGGGGAGCAAACAGGAUUAGAUACCCUUGUAGUC
Molecule: ribosomal RNA, 440 nt
Filed under: uncultured bacterium
Lineage: Bacteria
Description: partial 16S ribosomal RNA
Rfam family: Bacterial small subunit ribosomal RNA
Source: RNAcentral